This 490-nucleotide ribosomal RNA is filed under the name uncultured bacterium. RNAcentral describes it as "SSU rRNA". It matches the Rfam family "Bacterial small subunit ribosomal RNA", at positions 26 to 523 of the family's 1533-position model. The record is from RNAcentral.
AGGAUUAACGCUGGCGGCGUGCAUGAAACAUGCAAGUCGAGCGCGGUGUGAUGCGGGGUAACCCAAUUCACAUCUAGCGGCGAACGGGUGAGUAACACGUGAGCAACCUACCUUUGAGUUGGGGAUAGCCCUGGGAAACCAGGAUUAAUACCCGAUGUGGUCACAACAGGACAUCCUGAUGUGAGUAAAGGCGCAAGCCGCUCAAUGACGGGCUCGCGGCCUAUUAGCUUGUUGGUGGGGUAACGGCCUACCAAGGCGAUGAUGGGUAGCUGGUCUGAGAGGACGAUCAGCCACACUGGGACUGAGACACGGCCCAGACUCCUACGGGAGGCAGCAGUUAGGAAUUUUCCGCAAUGGGCGAAAGCCUGACGGAGCAACGCCGCGUGAGUGAUGAAGACCUUAGGGUUGUAAAGCUCUGUCGGAGGGAAGAACACAAUGACGGUACCCUCCAAGAAAGCCCCGGCUAACUACGCGCCAGCAGCCGCGGUAA